This 1095-nucleotide long non-coding RNA is filed under the name Gallus gallus (chicken). The record is from RNAcentral. Lineage: Eukaryota; Metazoa; Chordata; Aves; Galliformes; Phasianidae.
GAGUAGUAAGGUCCGGCAGCCGGCAAGGACGGCACGGGGAGAGCUCCGGCUGCGGGCAAAUGGCUCUUGCCGUACGGGUGGUACCUGUUGAGUCCCAAAGUGUGUGGGCUCCUCAAGGACAGGGAGGCCGCAAUCAUGUAGCGGGAGAGGCAGGGAGACGCUCAGAUAUUAACUGGUGCUCGCUGGGUGAUGGUUACUUAUGGGAGAGCCGGUGGCCGCUUUCCUCUGCAGAGCAAUUCACAUUAAAGCACGGCGCGAACAUUAAAGGAAGAAGGAUGAAUGGCGCGAGGGGGAGGAGAGCAUCACCCACUUAUCAAAGCGCUGCUGUGCUGAGGGAUGGGCAGCAGAUCAAAACGCACAGCGUGGCCGACGCCGGGGCACCGUGACAUCACUUCAGACCUCUUUCACUGUUUGCCUUCCCAGCGCUCCACACAGAGCCACGCAACGCUGCUGGGUCAGCCUGGGUUGACCUGGCCUCUGUUUGCACUGCAGCGGUUGAGCGGUGCCUCAGUUUCCCCAUCUGAAGGACUGAGCGGAGCCCCCCCAGCAUUCAGCAUCGCAGCCCUUUGGGGGUGAGGGACCCCUCCCCAUAUCCCAUAGGGCUGCCUCUGCGGGCGCGUCCGGCCCUCAGCAUCACCCAUACCUCUGUUUUUAGUUCUUUGCCAGUGUCAGUUAAUUAAACUAUGCAAAUUAAAACAACUUAAUUUAUAUAAUAUCAGUGCCGGAGCCUCAAACCAUUUGGUGCAGCUCAUCUGGCACGUACGGUACAUAAAAUGUUUGGAGCGGCUCUAAUAAAAAUGAAAAAGGCUGUAAAUCAAGUUUAAUUUAUUCAUUUUCUGUACGGUAUUAAAGCAUGCCAAAAUCAGAUUAUUUAUGAGCCCUUCAUAACAAUAGGCAUUUUUAUUGGUUGCAAAUGACAAAAGGGUUUCUCAGAGGGAUUUUUUUCCUUUAAAUUUUUUGAAUGCCUUUUCAGAAACAUUUAUUUUUUUGGCCGCUGUGAUCUCAAAGAAAAAUAUUUAAUCAUUGAUACAGUAAAAAUAAUUUAUAUUUAGAUGCUGAGAAACACACCAGGCUUUCAGACAUAAAUACACACAG